This 93-nucleotide ribosomal RNA is filed under the name Staphylococcus simulans UMC-CNS-990. The record is from RNAcentral. Lineage: Bacteria; Bacillati; Bacillota; Bacilli; Caryophanales; Staphylococcaceae.
AAAGAGGUCACAACCUGUUCCCAUGACCGAACUACAGAAGUUAAGCUCUUUAGCGCCGAUGGUAGUCGGACUUACGUUCCGCAAGAGUAGGAC